This 447-nucleotide ribosomal RNA is filed under the name uncultured bacterium. RNAcentral describes it as "partial 16S ribosomal RNA". It matches the Rfam family "Bacterial small subunit ribosomal RNA", at positions 29 to 523 of the family's 1533-position model. The record is from RNAcentral.
AACGAACGCUGGCGGCAGGCUUAACACAUGCAAGUCGAACGCCCCGCAAGGGGAGUGGCAGACGGGUGAGUAACGCGUGGGAAUCUACCGUACCCUACGGAACAACGGUUGGAAACGACUGCUAAUACCGUAUACGCCCUACGGGGGAAAGAUUUAUCGGGGUAUGAUGAGCCCGCGUUGGAUUAGCUAGUUGGUGGGGUAAAGGCCUACCAAGGCGACGAUCCAUAGCUGGUCUGAGAGGAUGAUCAGCCACAUUGGGACUGAGACACGGCCCAAACUCCUACGGGAGGCAGCAGUGGGGAAUAUUGGACAAUGGGCGCAAGCCUGAUCCAGCCAUGCCGCGUGAGUGAUGAAGGUCUUAGGAUUGUAAAGCUCUUUCACCGAUGAAGAUAAUGACGGUAGUCGGAGAAGAAGCCCCGGCUAACUUCGUGCCAGCAGCCGCCGUAA